RNAcentral lists this ribosomal RNA (764 nucleotides) under uncultured bacterium. RNAcentral describes it as "bacterial SSU rRNA". It matches the Rfam family "Bacterial small subunit ribosomal RNA", at positions 567 to 1329 of the family's 1533-position model. The record is from RNAcentral.
GAGUGUAGGUGGCUCAUUAAGUCACAUGUGAAAUCCCCGGGCUUAACCUGGGAACUGCAUGUGAUACUGGUGGUGCUAGAAUAUGUGAGAGGGAAGUAGAAUUCCAGGUGUAGCGGUGAAAUGCGUAGAGAUCUGGAGGAAUACCGAUGGCGAAGGCAGCUUCCUGGCAUAAUAUUGACACUGAGAUUCGAAAGCGUGGGUAGCAAACAGGAUUAGAUACCCUGGUAGUCCACGCCGUAAACGAUGUCUACUAGCCGUUGGGGUCCUUGAGACUUUAGUGGCGCAGUUAACGCGAUAAGUAGACCGCCUGGGGAGUACGGCCGCAAGGUUAAAACUCAAAUGAAUUGACGGGGGCCCGCACAAGCGGUGGAGCAUGUGGUUUAAUUCGAUGCAACGCGAAGAACCUUACCUGGUCUUGACAUAGUGAGAAUCCUGCAGAGAUGCGGGAGUGCCUUCGGGAAUUCACAUACAGGUGCUGCAUGGCUGUCGUCAGCUCGUGUCGUGAGAUGUUGGGUUAAGUCCCGCAACGAGCGCAACCCUUUUCCUUAUUUGCCAGCGGGUUAAGCCGGGAACUUUAAGGAUACUGCCAGUGACAAACUGGAGGAAGGCGGGGACGACGUCAAGUCAUCAUGGCCCUUACGACCAGGGCUACACACGUGCUACAAUGGUAGGUACAGAGGGUUGCUACACAGCGAUGUGAUGCUAAUCUCAAAAAGCCUAUCGUAGUCCGGAUUGGAGUCUGCAACUCGACUCCAUGAAGUCGG